CUGGACCCGCCCCCGCACAGCUUCCCAGCAGUCCCGAUUCCGCCUGAGGCUCCAGAAGGCGAAGCUGUACAGGAGGCCACUUUUCUUCUCAGCCUAGAACUCGAGAGACCUGAAAGGAAGGACGACUGGCCACAGGAGAUGUUUCACAGAGCCGCUGAAUGAACAACACAGUCAAUUCUGAUCAACUUUCCAGUGCUAUCUGGGUGUAAGUGAGUGGCCCUGGAGGUGGGUGCCUCUCCCCGGCGCAGUUUUUCCUUCCAUCACAAGCAUGGCUGAAGCUGGGUGGUGGUGCAUACAGAUUCCAGCCAGCAAGGAGGGGAAAGAGAGUUCAGAGGACUCACCUCCACUGUCCCCGACCCAGGCCUGUAGCAUCUAUAUUGGCUCCUCUCAGGUUCCACAGAAUUCCUCAAGAUGACUGAGGUUGGUCCCUGAAGAAACCAAAUUCAGUGUAAGAAAACCAACAUCACAAAGAGGGGCAGAAGCCUGAGCAGGCAGAGGUGGGGGAAGGACAGAGCCAUGGAAUGGCCAGAGCCGGACAGAGCCAGGAGGUAAGAGGGCACAGACAGAGUGCAUUCAGGCAGGGACAUCAGCUGGUCUAAAGAUGAAGGCUGAGGAAGCCACUGGAGGAUGUGCCCAUGCAUAAGAAGGGUUAA
Molecule: long non-coding RNA, 653 nt
Filed under: Homo sapiens (human)
Lineage: Eukaryota; Metazoa; Chordata; Mammalia; Primates; Hominidae
Description: HSALNT0054833
Source: RNAcentral